This 404-nucleotide unclassified non-coding RNA is filed under the name soil metagenome. Its description in RNAcentral is "partial contains 5.8S ribosomal RNA, internal transcribed spacer 2, and large subunit ribosomal RNA". The stretch from base 1 to 121 matches the Rfam family "5.8S ribosomal RNA", at positions 35 to 154 of the family's 154-position model. The record is from RNAcentral.
GAUGAAGAACGCAGCGAAAUGCGAUAAGUAAUGUGAAUUGCAGAAUUCAGUGAAUCAUCGAAUCUUUGAACGCACCUUGCGCCCUUUGGCUAUUCCGAAGGGCAUGCCUGUUUGAGUAUCAUGAACACCUCAACCCUCAUGGUUUGCCAUGAUGGGCUUGGACUUUGGGGGUCUUGCUGGAUUGUAGUCAGCUCCCCUUAAAUGAAUCAGCUUGCCAGUGUUUGGUGGCAUCACAGGUGUGAUAAAUAUCUACGCUUGUGGUUGUACAUCAGAUAACCUUCAGUGAUGGAGGUUCACUGGAGGUCAUAAAGGUGUCUCUCCUCUGUGAGGACAGCUCUUUGAAUGUUUGAUCUCAAAUCAGGCAGGACUACCCGCUGAACUUAAGCAUAUCAAUAAGCGGAGGA